This 1686-nucleotide ribosomal RNA is filed under the name Rogneda reticulata. Its description in RNAcentral is "eukaryotic LSU rRNA". It matches the Rfam family "Eukaryotic large subunit ribosomal RNA", at positions 23 to 1509 of the family's 3401-position model. Lineage: Eukaryota; Metazoa; Platyhelminthes; Rhabdocoela; Polycystididae. The record is from RNAcentral.
GGUCGACCCGCUGAACUUAAGCAUAUCAGUAAGCGGAGGAAAAGAAAGUAACAACGAUUUCCUUAGUAAUGGCGAAUGAACAGGAAUUAGCCCAAUGCCGAAUCCUGCACCUUUGGUGUUUGGAAAUGUGGCGUAAGGGACUGUUCUUACGGUUUAUUGUUGCGGUUUCAAGUUCACUUGAUUGUGGCAUCAAGCCCAAAGAGGGUGCAAGGCCCGUAGAAACCGCACAAUUUAUCUAGAGCAGUCUCAAGAGUAGAGUUGUUUGGGAUUGCAGCUCAAAUAUGGGAGGUAAACUCCUCCUAAGGCUAAAUACAACACGAGUCCGAUAGCGAACAAGUACCAUGAGGGAAAGUUGAAAAGAACUUUGAAGAGAGAGUUCAACAGUGCGUGAAACCGCUCAAAGGGAACCAGGUAGAGCUGAAGGAGACUUGGCUUAUUUGUGCCUCAUGCUGGUCAUGUUUUAAGUGCAGAGACUCAUUGCUCGGCUUUUAGCAUGUUCUUGUGUGUCGUACUAUUUUGCUUUGUCGACACCACGAUCAUUUGUUAGAGAGGUCUGGCAUUGUCAGGAAGGUAGCUUGCAUUUUUGUAAGUGUUAUAGCCUGACUUUCUAGCACCACUUGAGAAAUGGCAUUUAGCAUUAUUGUAAUGUUUAGUUGAUGGGGAACACUGCUUUUCUAACUCUCUAAGAGAUAGGAUUGCUGUUGCAACCUUUUGACUGGGCCUCUUGCAGUUUUGUUCAAAUCUGUGGUGGCAUGGUAGGCAUUCUACCUGACCCGUCUUGAAACACGGACCAAGGAGUUUAGCAUGUACGCGAGUCAUGGGGUUGUACGAAACCUAAAGGCGCAGUGAAAGUGAAGGCUAACCUUUGUUAGCUUAGGUAGGAUCCUGGAUUUCAUCGGGCAGCAAUGCACGUGGUCUAGGCGCACUACCAGAUCGUCCCAUGCUUUAUUAAGUGGGGCGAAUCAAGAGCGUACAUGCUGAGACCCGAAAGAUGGUGAACUAUGCUUGAGUAGGAUGAAGCCAGAGGAAACUCUGGUGGAGGUCCGUAGCGAUUCUGACGUGCAAAUCGAUCGUCAAACUUGAGUAUAGGGGCGAAAGACUAAUCGAACCAUCUAGUAGCUGGUUCCCUCCGAAGUUUCCCUCAGGAUAGCUGGCACUCGAGAAUCAAACAGUUUUAUCCGGUAAAGCGAAUGAUUAGCAGUAUUGGGGACGAAAUGUCCUCAACUGAUUCUCAAACUUUAAAUGGGUGAGAAGCUCAACUCUCUUAAAUAUGGAGUUGUGGCAUUGAAUGUGAGUGCCUAGUGGGCCAUUUUUGGUAAGCAGAACUGGCGAUGAGGGAUGAACCUAACGUCUGGUUAAGGAGCCAAACACAACGCUCAUGAGACACCACAAAAGGUGUUGGUUGAUUUUGACAGCAGGACGGUGGCCAUGGAAGUCGGAAUCCGCUAAGGAGUGUGUAACAACUCACCUGCCGAAUCAACCAGCCCUGAAAAUGGAUGGCGCUGUAGCGUUGGUCCUAUACCAGACCGUUACCGCGAAGCAGUAUGUGGUAACGAGUAGGAGGGCGCAGUGGUGAGCAUAGAAGUCUAGGCCGUGAGGCUGGAUCGAGCCGCCACUGGUGCAGAUCUUGGUGGUAGUAGCAAAUAUACAAGUGAGAACCUUGUAGACUGAAGUGGAGAAGGGUUC